AGAGUUUGAUCCUGGCUCAGAUUGAACGCUGGCGGCAGGCUUAACACAUGCAAGUCGAACGGUAACAGGAAGGAAGCUUGCUUUCUUUGCUGACGAGUGGCGGACGGGUGAGUAAUGCUUGGGAAUCUGGCUUAUGGAGGGGGAUAACUACGGGAAACUGUAGCUAAUACCGCGUAAUAUCUUCGGAUUAAAGGGUGGGACCGUAAGGCCACCUGCCAUAAGAUGAGCCCAAGUGGGAUUAGGUAGUUGGUGGGGUAAAGGCCUACCAAGCCGACGAUCUCUAGCUGGUCUGAGAGGAUGACCAGCCACACUGGAACUGAGACACGGUCCAGACUCCUACGGGAGGCAGCAGUGGGGAAUAUUGCACAAUGGGGGGAACCCUGAUGCAGCCAUGCCGCGUGAAUGAAGAAGGCCUUCGGGUUGUAAAGUUCUUUCGGUGAUGAGGAAGGCGGUUGUUUUAAUAGAACAAUCGAUUGACGUUAGUCACAGAAGAAGCACCGGCUAACUCCGUGCCAGCAGCCGCGGUAAUACGGAGGGUGCGAGCGUUAAUCGGAAUGACUGGGCGUAAAGGGCACGCAGGCGGUGACUUAAGUGAGAUGUGAAAGCCCCGGGCUUAACCUGGGAAUUGCAUUUCAUACUGGGUCGCUAGAGUAUUUUAGGGAGGGGUAGAAUUCCACGUGUAGCGGUGAAAUGCGUAGAGAUGUGGAGGAAUACCGAAGGCGAAGGCAGCCCCUUGGGAAUAUACUGACGCUCAUGUGCGAAAGCGUGGGGAGCAAACAGGAUUAGAUACCCUGGUAGUCCACGCUGUAAACGCUGUCGAUUUGGGGAUUGGGCUUUAAGCUUGGUGCCCGUAGCU
RNAcentral lists this ribosomal RNA (856 nucleotides) under uncultured bacterium. RNAcentral describes it as "bacterial SSU rRNA". It matches the Rfam family "Bacterial small subunit ribosomal RNA", at positions 8 to 853 of the family's 1533-position model. The record is from RNAcentral.